This 242-nucleotide ribosomal RNA is filed under the name Salmonella enterica subsp. enterica serovar Enugu. RNAcentral describes it as "partial 23S ribosomal RNA". It matches the Rfam family "Bacterial large subunit ribosomal RNA", at positions 321 to 563 of the family's 2925-position model. Lineage: Bacteria; Pseudomonadati; Pseudomonadota; Gammaproteobacteria; Enterobacterales; Enterobacteriaceae. The record is from RNAcentral.
CAUGUGUGUUAGUGGAAGCGUCUGGAAAGGCGCGCGAUACAGGGUGACAGCCCCGUACACAAAAGCGCAUGUGCUGUGAGCUCGAUGAGUAGGGCGGGACACGUGGUAUCCUGUCUGAAUAUGGGGGGACCAUCCUCCAAGGCUAAAUACUCCUGACUGACCGAUAGUGAACCAGUACCGUGAGGGAAAGGCGAAAAGAACCCCGGCGAGGGGAGUGAAAAAGAACCUGAAACCGUGUACGU